AUGAUAUGCUUAAGCUGGAACUGCCGGGGGCUUGGGAACCCCGAGGCAGUUCGCGAGCUUCGCAGCGUUGUGAAGUAAGAAGGCCCUACUCUGGUUUUUGUCAUGGAAACAAAGAUCAGAGGGAAACGUGUCGAGAGACUACAGAAGACCUUAGGAUUUGUUGGAUGUUUUGCUGUUGAUAGCGUUGGACUAAGUGGAGGCCUUGGUCUCUUCUGGUCUAAGGAUGUUUCGGUAGAACUCAAGAACUACAGUUCGGCCCACAUUGAUGUUGUGGUGCGCGAUGCUUUGGAUACCUCGGUGAGUUGGCGAUUCAUCGGGUUUUAUGGAGCGCCUAGAGCUGAGAACAGGCAUCACAGCUGGCGGUUCCUUCGUACCCUACACAGCCUCUCGCAUGAUGAGUGGUUGCGUAUGGGUGAUUUUAAUGAAACUCCAUAUGGGGAAGAGCAUUUUAGUCGGACAGCAAGACCGGAAUGGCAAAUGAGAGCAUUUCGUGAUGUUACCGAUGAUUGUGGGUUCCACGAUUUAGGUUGGUCCGGAGUUUCCUGCACAUGGGACAACUGA
Molecule: ribosomal RNA, 561 nt
Filed under: Triticum aestivum (bread wheat)
Lineage: Eukaryota; Viridiplantae; Streptophyta; Magnoliopsida; Poales; Poaceae
Description: partial small subunit ribosomal RNA
Source: RNAcentral